Molecule: ribosomal RNA, 337 nt
Filed under: uncultured Parcubacteria group bacterium
Lineage: Bacteria
Description: bacterial SSU rRNA
Rfam family: Bacterial small subunit ribosomal RNA
Source: RNAcentral
GAUGAAUGCUGGCGGCGUGGAUAAGGCAUGCAAGUCGAACGAAGCAUCCUUUAGAAGUUAGUGCGAUUACAUCAAGCUGGCUACUGUUGGAUGCUGAGUGGCGAACGAGUUAGUAACAUCUUGGUACGUACCUCGUAGCCGGGCACAACGGGUCGAAAGAUCCGCUAAUUCCCGAUAGUCCCGCAAGGGUAAAGGCGCAAGCCACUAUGAGAGCGGCCUAGAUCCUAUCAGCUUGUUGGCGGGGUAAUGGCCCACCAAGGCUUUGACGGGUAGGGGUGUGAGAGCAUGACCCUCAACGACGAAACUGAGACACGGUUCGUACACCUACGGGUGGCAG